RNAcentral lists this ribosomal RNA (253 nucleotides) under uncultured bacterium. Its description in RNAcentral is "partial 16S ribosomal RNA". It matches the Rfam family "Bacterial small subunit ribosomal RNA", at positions 524 to 776 of the family's 1533-position model. The record is from RNAcentral.
UACGAAGGGGGCUAGCGUUGCUCGGAAUCACUGGGCGUAAAGCGCACGUAGGCGGGUUGUUAAGUCGGGGGUGAAAUCCUGGAGCUCAACUCCAGAACUGCCUUCGAUACUGGCGACCUUGAGUCCGGGAGAGGUGAGUGGAACUCCGAGUGUAGAGGUGAAAUUCGUAGAUAUUCGCAAGAACACCAGUGGCGAAGGCGGCUCACUGGCCCGGUACUGACGCUGAGGUGCGAAAGCGUGGGGAGCAAACAGG